AGGACGAACGCUGGCGGCGUGCUUAAAACAUGCAAGUCGAACGGACUUCUCAUGAAGCUUGCGAUUGAGAAGUUAGUGGCGGACGGGUGAGUAACGCGUGGGCAACCUGCCCCUGAGCCCGGGAUAACAGUUCGAAAGGACUGCUAAGACCGGAUAUACUUGCGGUGAAGCAUUUCACUGCAAGGAAAGGGAACGCUCAGGGAUGGGCCCGCGUCCCAUUAGCUAGUUGGUGAGGUAACGGCCCACCAAGGCGACGAUGGGUAGCCGGCCUGAGAGGGUGAACGGCCACACUGGGACUGAGACACGGCCCAGACUCCUACGGGAGGCAGCAGUUGGGAAUCUUCGGCAAUGGGCGCAAGCCUGACCGAGCAACGCCGCGUGAGUGAUGAAGGUUUUCGGAUUGUAAAGCUCUGUCUUCCGGGACGAUAAUGACGGUACCGGAGGAGGAAGCCACGGCUAACUACGUG
This 467-nucleotide ribosomal RNA is filed under the name uncultured bacterium. Its description in RNAcentral is "bacterial SSU rRNA". It matches the Rfam family "Bacterial small subunit ribosomal RNA", at positions 26 to 507 of the family's 1533-position model. The record is from RNAcentral.